UGGGGAAUAUUGGACAAUGGGCGCAAGCCUGAUCCAGCCAUGCCGCGUGAGUGAUGAAGGCCUUCGGGUUGUAAAGCUCUUUCACUGGGGAAGAUAAUGACGGUACCCAGAGAAGAAGCCCCGGCUAACUUCGUGCCAGCAGCCGCGGUAAUACGAAGGGGGCUAGCGUUGUUCGGAAUCACUGGGCGUAAAGCGCACGUAGGCGGACUUUUAAGUCAGGGGUGAAAUCCCAAGGCUCAACCUUGGAACUGCCUUUGAUACUGGAAGUCUUGAGUUCGGGAGAGGGGGGUGGAACUGCGAGUGUAGAGGUGAAAUUCGUAGAUAUUCGCAAGAACACCAGUGGCGAAGGCGGCUCACUGGCCCGAUACUGACGCUGAGGUGCGAAAGCGUGGGGAGCAAACAGG
This 404-nucleotide ribosomal RNA is filed under the name Bacillota bacterium. Its description in RNAcentral is "Firmicutes bacterium partial 16S ribosomal RNA". It matches the Rfam family "Bacterial small subunit ribosomal RNA", at positions 355 to 776 of the family's 1533-position model. The record is from RNAcentral. Lineage: Bacteria; Bacillati; Bacillota.